Molecule: long non-coding RNA, 524 nt
Filed under: Chelonoidis abingdonii (Abingdon island giant tortoise)
Lineage: Eukaryota; Metazoa; Chordata; Testudines; Testudinidae
Description: lncRNA (ENSCABG00000007346.1)
Source: RNAcentral
CUGCCUUUCUGCCGUCCCACCCCCCGCCGGCCUUUGCUUUUUUCCUGCCGACCUAUGCUCUAUGAACUUAUCUGAACAGUACACUUCCUGCAGUGGUUGUAUGCCAGCCUGGAGUACUCUGUGCAGGUCAGGAAAGUAUUCUGCAAUCACAGCCUGAAGGGAGAAAUAGCCACUCCAUAAUCUUUUCCUACAUCAAACUAAUCUGAAUUAUUCUGUCAGAGUCAGAAACCAGACACCAGGGGAAAGCUCCUGAACUUGAGAUGUCAAAAGCAUCUGGUCUGCUUCCUAUUGAUCAUGGACUUGAACAGUUUACUGAUGGAGCCAGCGACAUUUCCUCCCGUGAUGAUUAUUUGUCGGUUUCACUCCAUUGGCUUGAGCUUGAGUUUCCAUGGUAAAGCUCCUUGCUGAGGGCCUGCUCUCACACUGAACUUGAAGGAAAAGCUAAAUGGGAGCUGGAUGCUCCAAUAAUUCAAGAUGCUGAGCACCCAAUGCUAUCGCAGACUGGCAUGCAGCGGGUUAACUGG